GAUGAACGCUGGCUGUGUGCCUAAUACAUGCAUGUCGAGCGGAAGUAGCAAUACUUUAGCGGCGAAUGGGUGAGUAACACGUGCUUAAUCUACCCUUUAGACUGGAAUAACUAAUGGAAACAUUGGCUAAUGCCGGAUGCGCAUGGAAUCGCAUGAUUCCGUUGUGAAAGGAGCCUCAAAGCUCCACUAGAGGAUGAGGGUGCGGAACAUUAGCUUGUUGGUGAGGUAACGGCCCACCAAGGCAAUGAUGUUUAGCCGGGUCGAGAGACUGAACGGCCACAUUGGGACUGAGAUACGGCCCAAACUCCUACGGGAGGCAGCAGUAGGGAAUAUUCCACAAUGAGCGAAAGCUUGAUGGAGCGACACAGCGUGCACGAUGACGGUCUUCGGAUUGUAAAGUGCUGUUAUAGGGGAAGAACACUUAGUUGAGGAAAUGCUUCUAAGCUGACGGUACCCUGUCAGAAAGCGAUGGCUAACUAUGUGCCAGCAGCCGCGGUAAUACAUAGGUCGCAAGCGUUAUCCGGAAUUAUUGGGCGUAAAGCGUUCGUAGGCUGUUUAUUAAGUCUGGAGUUAAAUCCCAGGGCUCAACCCUGGCUCGCUUUGGAUACUGGUAAACUAGAGUUAGAUAGAGGUAAGCGGAAUUCCAUGUGAAGCGGUGAAAUGCGUAGAUAUAUGGAAGAACACCAAAGGCGAAGGCAGCUUGCUGGGUCUAUACUGACGCUGAGGGACGAAAGCGUGGGGAGCAAACAGGAUUAGAUACCCUGGUAGUCCACGCCGUAAACGAUGAUCAUUAGUCGGUGGAUUAAUCACUGACGCAGCUAACGCAUUAAAUGAUCCGCCUGAGUAGUAUGCUCGCAAGAGUGAAACUUAAAGGAAUUGACGGGGACCCGCACAAGCGGUGGAGCAUGUGGUUUAAUUUGAAGAUACGCGGAGAACCUUACCCACUCUUGACAUCCUUCGCAAAGCUAUAGAGAUAUAGUGGAGGUUAACGGAGUGACAGAUGGUGCAUGGUUGUCGUCAGCUCGUGUCGUGAGAUGUUUGGUCAAGUCCUGCAACGAGCGCAACCCCUAUCUUUAGUUACUAACGAGUCAUGUCGAGGACUCUAGAGAUACUGCCUGGGUAACUGGGAGGAAGGUGGGGAUGACGUCAAAUCAUCAUGCCUCUUACGAGUGGGGCAACACACGUGCUACAAUGGUCGGUACAAAGAGAAGCAAUAUGGCGACAUGGAGCAAAUCUCAAAAAGCCGAUCUCAGUUCGGAUUGGAGUCUGCAAUUCGACUCCAUGAAGUCGGAAUCGCUAGUAAUCGCAGAUCAGCUAUGCUGCGGUGAAUACGUUCUCGGGUCUUGUACACACCGCCCGUCACACCAUGGGAGCUGGUAAUACCCAAAGUCGGUUUGCUAACCUCGGAGGCGACUGCCUAAGGUAGGACUGGUGACUGGGGUGAAG
RNAcentral lists this ribosomal RNA (1446 nucleotides) under Metamycoplasma arthritidis. RNAcentral describes it as "16S ribosomal RNA". It matches the Rfam family "Bacterial small subunit ribosomal RNA". Lineage: Bacteria; Bacillati; Mycoplasmatota; Mycoplasmoidales; Metamycoplasmataceae. The record is from RNAcentral.